AUUGAACGCUGGCGGCAGGCCUAACACAUGCAAGUCGAGCGGAUGAAGGGAGCUUGCUCCUGGAUUCAGCGGCGGACGGGUGAGUAAUGCCUAGGAAUCUGCCUGGUAGUGGGGGAUAACGUCCGGAAACGGGGACUAAUACCGCAUACGUCCUGAGGGAGAAAGUGGGGGAUCUUCGGACCUCACGCUAUCAGAUGAGCCUAGGUCGGAUUAGCUAGGUGGUGGGGUAAAGGCCUACCAAGGCGACGAUCCGUAACUGGUCUGAGAGGAUGAUCAGUCACACUGGAACUGAGACACGGUCCAGACUCCGACGGGAGGCAGCAGUGGGGAAUAUUGGACAAUGGGCGAAAGCCUGAUCCAGCCAUGCCGCGUGUGUGAAGAAGGUCUUCGGAUUGUAAAGCACUUUAAGUUGGGAGGAAGGGCAGUAAGUUAAUACCUUGCUGUUUUGACGUUACCAACAGAAUAAGCACCGGCUAACUUCGUG
This 484-nucleotide ribosomal RNA is filed under the name uncultured bacterium. Its description in RNAcentral is "partial 16S ribosomal RNA". It matches the Rfam family "Bacterial small subunit ribosomal RNA", at positions 30 to 507 of the family's 1533-position model. The record is from RNAcentral.